Molecule: RNA transcript, 843 nt
Organism: Rhopalosiphum padi (bird cherry-oat aphid)
Lineage: Eukaryota; Metazoa; Arthropoda; Insecta; Hemiptera; Aphididae
Exons: 2
Source: RefSeq, a predicted model, not a curated record
AAAAACAAUUAGUUUUUUUCAUCUUUCUGAUAGAAAGUUAUUUAUUCUACUUAUUUUCUAUAAGUAAACCUUUAAGUGUCACACCACAAGUUUUCGAGAAGUCGAUUCAAAUAGAAGAAUUUCGUAACUCUAUCACAUUAGAUCUAACGAAACCAGUAAUGGAAACAAAUGAAAGUGAAAUUGUCGCUGAAAGAAGUAUAUACGAAUUACUAGAAUAAAAAGCAGAGGAUUCGCAAAUGAAGAUACAACAACUUCGUGAAAUACUUUGGAAGCAUACACAAAACUCUAACAUUAUUGGUAACUGGUUCCAGAUAACAAGAAUUUUGUCUAGAUGAAGAUGUAAAUGAGAGAAUUAAAUAUUAUAUAGAUAAGUUGAAUGAAAAAAAUUUUCUUAUCUAAAAAAAUUUAUCUAGGUAUUUCCCCACACUGUUGAUUUGGAUCAGGACAAUAUAGACGAAAUUCGAACGGACGAACCUGUAUUGGAUAAAGAUGAUUCCAUAAAUAAACAUUGUAAUGAUGGUAGUAUCGACAUACCCGAUUUCAGACCGAAAUUCAAUCUGAAUCCCUUGGCUAAGGAGUUCAUAUAUCUCGGUCAAGGUUUGGAUCUGAAUGUUACACAUUUAAACGAAGAUAUCUAUAAUCCCGGUACAAGUGAAUAUUUAUUAUACCUUGUGAAAAACCUUAAAUAGUUGAACACAUUCUUACUAAUAGGAUUAAAUUUUAAUAUAAAGUUACAAGAAGAUGUGUAACUAGUUACAAAUUACAAAAGUAACCGAGUUACAUAUAUGAUAUUAAUGUAUAUAACUAUGAUAUAACAUUCAAUAAAUAUACUUAGAUUAUGUU